AGAGUUGCCUAGAGACACAUGCACACUCAACACGAUAAAAUGAAUCUCAUUUCUCUCCUGAUGGUGAUGGUGAUGGCUGUAGCGGCAGUUCUGGCCAAUCCUGUUCCGGGAUAUCCAGUCUAUAACAACUAUAAUUAUGGUUACGGUUAUCCCCAAUACGCCGUUGCUUCUACUUACAUCCCUAAAACGAUCCACAUAACCCGCCAACACUUUUCUCUUCCUUACGGAUAUUACAAUAACUUGUGGUAAUAAUGUACUCCUGAGUGAAGGACGACAUCACAAUGUGCCCCAGCGACCUAAAAACUAUUUUCUUUUAACAUUUCAGAAUCAGGUUCUUACUGCACCUUACUACUCUACUAUUUGUAAUCUAUUUAUCGUAUAUACCAAUAUUUUUCAACUGAAAUUAAAUCUUCAGAAAUAAUUACGUUA
This is a long non-coding RNA of Scylla paramamosain (green mud crab), 429 nucleotides long. RefSeq lists it as uncharacterized. The record is from RefSeq and is a predicted model, not a curated record. The transcript has 2 exons. Lineage: Eukaryota; Metazoa; Arthropoda; Malacostraca; Decapoda; Portunidae.